CCUGAACGCUGGCGGCGUGGCUAAGACAUGCAAGUCGCACGGAUGUAGCAAUACAUCAGUGGCGGACGGGUGAGUAAUUUAUCGCUAAUGUACCCUUGAGCCUGGGAUAGCUGUCCGAAAGGGCAGGUAAUACCAGAUGAAAUGAGCUUGUCGCAUGACAGGAAUCUCAAAGCAGCAAUGCACUCUUGGAGCAGGCGAUAUCGUAUCAGCUAGUUGGUGAGGUAACGGCUCACCAAGGCGAUGACGCGUAGCUGGUCUGAGAGGACGACCAGCCACAUCGGGACUGAGACACU
This 293-nucleotide ribosomal RNA is filed under the name uncultured bacterium. Its description in RNAcentral is "partial 16S ribosomal RNA". It matches the Rfam family "Bacterial small subunit ribosomal RNA", at positions 30 to 328 of the family's 1533-position model. The record is from RNAcentral.